RNAcentral lists this unclassified non-coding RNA (1618 nucleotides) under Artemisia vulgaris (common mugwort). Its description in RNAcentral is "partial external transcribed spacer". The record is from RNAcentral. Lineage: Eukaryota; Viridiplantae; Streptophyta; Magnoliopsida; Asterales; Asteraceae.
AAUAUUCGUCGACCCGACUUAGACCGAGCAUGGCUCCUCCGAAGCAGCCCUUGAAGCGACGAACGUUCCAGGACCCGACGUAGACCUGUCCCGAAGCGAUCAAGGUUCCUCGACGUCGUAGACCUUCGACCAAGGUUUCUCGGCCGUCGUAGACCUUCCCCGAUGGUUCCUAGGCACGUCGUAGACCGACGAAGGAUCCCCCGAAGCGACCAAGGUUCCUCGGCUCGUCGUGGACCUUCGGGCAAGGUUUCUCGGACCGACGUAAACCUGCCCCGAUGGUUUCUCGGCCCGUCGUAGCGACUUGGAGGAAAAGUAUGAUUCCUCAAAAAAUCAAUGUCUGUUCCUGUCACUUAAGUUUUUGUCCAAUAAGUAUAUAUAGGGGGGGUGGAGUAUUUGGAGGCAAGGAUGCACGGGCACCGGUCGGCCUAUGGAACCACCGUUGUGUGCUCCGUGCAUUACGUCGAAGGCAAAUACGCUCUCCUAAUCGGUGUGGGCUUGCACGCACCGGUGGGGCUUGAUAGAAAUUCAAGCCUUGACGCUGUAGCCUAACGAGAAAGCGACGAUGACCCGAAGAGACCCAAAUCGUGAAAGAGUUAGGCGAGAGCGUCGGCAAGUGUGGUCGCUUGUGGGAAACGUUGCUGAAUGGAAUUCGAAAUCCUGUAAUUGCUUACCGAUAUGCGCGUGUCCGGACCGGUCUCUCAUGCCUCGUUAGUGAUUUGAAUCCAUCACUUUGCAAACGUGGCGAUUUGUCGCUUGCGUCUGCUGGUUUGACUCACUCGUACGCGGUUGUUAAGGUGGAGGGACUCGUUUCUUUAGGUGACUUGAUCUGACGAUGAUGUUACCGUGCUUGGAUUAAGCUCGGCUUUAGGUCUAUUGCGUACGUGCGUAGAUUGAGCCUUGAUUUUGAUCUAUGGCAUAGCUAUGGAGUCGUUCGGUCUUUGUUGCGCGAGCAACAUGAGGGAUCGGUUUCUUCUACGCGGAUAUACGUAAGCAAGCGAUGAUGCAACGGUUCUUACAAGCGACCUUGGACCCUUCCUGAUGGACCCUUCCAGAUCGACCCUUCCUGAUGACGGUUUACAUUCCUGACUUUCCCAUCGUUCGGGGCAUUCUGGGGCUGUUUUGGCUAUUGGUUGCUUGUUUGGUCUUGAGCCGAACGGGUGGCUUCUAGCCAGGUGGCUUCGGGGAUGUUGUCCGUAAAGGUGGAUGAGUGGUGUUUGGUUUGUCACGUGUGGUUGGCUGCGGCGUUUGCAACAACUUCCAUGCUUUCAGACCUCUUCAGUUGUGCGGCAAGGCUUGUAUCGCCUUGUCGUAAUGUGGGUUUUCUGUGUUGUAUACCUAAUCAAUGGUAUCGGUUGGAUUGAUCAAUGUUUCAUUUCGUCUGUCGUCGCAUUCGCGGCGUGAGACGAACCUCGAUGCGGUCUCUUUGGCCCACCUCGUCGAAGCACAUGCUUUGACGUUGUGGCACAUUGAGCAUUGCUUGGUCUCUUGUAUACGGAACAUAUAGUGGGCAUGGAUCUAACGAUUCUUGUUUGCCCUCAUGUUAGCGUAACGCUUCUCUUACACGACUUGCUCCACGUUUUAGCUCGUACGGACGUGGUGCUAUGUCGAAGAGGAAUGC